This 1488-nucleotide ribosomal RNA is filed under the name Microbacterium sp. BBDP44. Its description in RNAcentral is "bacterial SSU rRNA". It matches the Rfam family "Bacterial small subunit ribosomal RNA". Lineage: Bacteria; Bacillati; Actinomycetota; Actinomycetes; Micrococcales; Microbacteriaceae. The record is from RNAcentral.
AGAGUUUGAUCAUGGCUCAGGAUGAACGCUGGCGGCGUGCUUAACACAUGCAAGUCGAACGAUGAAGCCCAGCUUGCUGGGUGGAUUAGUGGCGAACGGGUGAGUAACACGUGAGCAACCUGCCCCUGACUCUGGGAUAAGCGCUGGAAACGGUGUCUAAUACUGGAUAUGAACUUGAACCGCAUGGUUACUUGUUGGAAAGAUUUUUCGGUUGGGGAUGGGCUCGCGGCCUAUCAGCUUGUUGGUGAGGUAAUGGCUCACCAAGGCGUCGACGGGUAGCCGGCCUGAGAGGGUGACCGGCCACACUGGGACUGAGACACGGCCCAGACUCCUACGGGAGGCAGCAGUGGGGAAUAUUGCACAAUGGGCGGAAGCCUGAUGCAGCAACGCCGCGUGAGGGAUGACGGCCUUCGGGUUGUAAACCUCUUUUAGCAGGGAAGAAGCGAGAGUGACGGUACCUGCAGAAAAAGCACCGGCUAACUACGUGCCAGCAGCCGCGGUAAUACGUAGGGUGCAAGCGUUAUCCGGAAUUAUUGGGCGUAAAGAGCUCGUAGGCGGUUUGUCGCGUCUGCUGUGAAAUCUGGAGGCUCAACCUCCAGCCUGCAGUGGGUACGGGCAGACUAGAGUGCGGUAGGGGAGAUUGGAAUUCCUGGUGUAGCGGUGGAAUGCGCAGAUAUCAGGAGGAACACCGAUGGCGAAGGCAGAUCUCUGGGCCCGUUACUGACGCUGAGGAGCGAAAGGGUGGGGAGCAAACAGGCUUAGAUACCCUGGUAGUCCACCCCGUAAACGUUGGGAAACUAGUUGUGGGGUCCAUUCCACGGAUUCCGUGACGCAGCUAACGCAUUAAGUUCCCCGCCUGGGGAGUACGGCCGCAAGGCUAAAACUCAAAGGAAUUGACGGGGACCCGCACAAGCGGCGGAGCAUGCGGAUUAAUUCGAUGCAACGCGAAGAACCUUACCAAGGCUUGACAUAUACGAGAACGGGCCAGAAAUGGUCAACUCUUUGGACACUCGUAAACAGGUGGUGCAUGGUUGUCGUCAGCUCGUGUCGUGAGAUGUUGGGUUAAGUCCCGCAACGAGCGCAACCCUCGUUCUAUGUUGCCAGCACGUAAUGGUGGGAACUCAUGGGAUACUGCCGGGGUCAACUCGGAGGAAGGUGGGGAUGACGUCAAAUCAUCAUGCCCCUUAUGUCUUGGGCUUCACGCAUGCUACAAUGGCCGGUACAGUGGGCAGCGAUACCGUGAGGUGGAGCGAAUCCCAAAAAGCCGGUCCCAGUUCGGAUUGAGGUCUGCAACUCGACCUCAUGAAGUCGGAGUCGCUAGUAAUCGCAGAUCAGCAACGCUGCGGUGAAUACGUUCCCGGGUCUUGUACACACCGCCCGUCAAGUCAUGAAAGUCGGUAACACCUGAAGCCGGUGGCCUAACCCCUUGUGGGAGGGAGCUGUCGAAGGUGGGAUCGGUAAUUAGGACUAAGUCGUAACAAGGUAACC